AUGGAGAGUCGUCGUCCCCCCACUCAGCUGCGGCAACCACCAUACCUCCCUGAGAAUGUGAUAAUGUUGAUCCUCUUAUGGCUUCCUCUCAAAACCCUCAUGCAGUUCAAGUGCGUCUGCCGUUCCUGGAACUCCCUCAUCUCCAGCCCGAUGUUCGUCAAACUGAAAUAUCUCAGAUCACCGAAAGGCGCCAACUUCAUGUUAACCAUAGAAGAUUUGCAUGAUCCUCAACACCAUAUGAUCCUUGCAGUCCCCUGCUCCGUUCCUUCUUUGCUUAAUUUCCGCCUGUCAGCCGUUUACGAAUACAGUUCUUUCCCGAUAAUGGAUGAUUACUGGGUUGUAGGUACAUGCCAUGGCUUGGUCUGUCUCGCUGGCCCUAUUUGGGAGUCGGAGGAUUCCACUGAUGAGUUCUGGGUCAAGAUUUGGAACCCGGUAACACGAAUUGCAUCUGGAAGAUCUCCAAUUUUACACUGCAAUUCCUUUGUGUCGUUAGAGUUAGGUUUCGGCUUUGAUUACAAAAAUGAAGCUUACAAGGUGGUGGCUCUCAUCACGAGUUUGGAGGCUGAAAAGGAUUCUGAGAAAUGUCAGGUGAAAGUUUACACAAUGGGAGAUUCUGGUUGGAGAGACAAGGGAAGCUUCCCUGCUCUUCCAAUUGCAGGAAGAAUUAGGAACAAAAAUGAUGGAAUAUAUAUAACUGGCACCCUUAAUUGGUUGGCGUUGCGCAACUUCGAGGGUGAUAAUGCAUGGGAAGAUGUCACCGCUCUUGAUCAAGUGGAGAUAGUUUCUCUUGAUUUGGGGGAAGAGACAUACAAACAUUUUGCGCUCCCUGAUGGUCUUGAUGAACGCCCCAUACUUACGCCUGUUCUUGGGGUUUUGAACGAUUGUCUGUACCUCUGUCAUGAUUACGACACCACCAACUUUGUUUUGUGGCAAAUGAAGGAGUUUGGAAAUGCGACAUCUUGGACUCUAUUGCUCAAUGUUACAAAUGAGCAUCUUCAACUAGAUAACUUUUUCCUUGUAUCAGAGGUGUUUCCACUCGUGCCCAUCUGCAUGUCUGAGAAUGGUGAUGUUGUGGUGAUCUUAAGCGCAGAAGAUAUAGCAGUAAUUCACUAUGAUUUCAAAGAUGAUAGAGUAGAACGGCAUGCACUUCCCAGACGAGAAUUGUGGUUCCAACCGAAAGAUUAUGCUGAAAGCUUGGUUCCGCCUCUGUGAAACCAGAGCUUCAAGAACUUGAUGGAUUGUUGAUGGUAUAUGGAGGAAUCAAGAGAGGUGGGAAGGAUGAAAGGAGAAAGUCUCUUCCAUGUUGAUGUAUUUGUCGGUCCUUUCUUGAACGUCAAACAAGGAGGUUGGAUGUCUCUUGGAUAUGGACUAUGAGAAUGGACCAUCCCAGAGGCCAUUAAAGCCACAAGCCAUUGAAUGUCCUGAAGAAUAGGAUCUAUUUCGACUUCAAUGCUUGCUCUAAGGUUGCCCAAUUCAACAAAUAUUUUUUCCGUUUGUAAAUUUUUUGCUAAAUUCAGUGCACUCCUUAUGGCAUAGGUCUCUGUUGCUAGACUUGACGAGGCUACAAUUUUCUCAGUUGUCCCUGUGAUUAAUCUUCCUGACUUAUCUCUGAUCACUACGCCUGUAGCACCUUCCGCCAAGUCCUUUCGAAAAGCAGCAUCCAUAUUUGCCUUAAUCCACUCUCCGGGUGGUGGCUUCUGCCUUCUAGAUCACAUUUUGUUUUGUUCGAGUGUUCGAUACUUAAAAAAGGAAAUGGGCCUAUCCGCCUAUGUAGUAAAAAAAGGAGAGAAAGGAUUUUACUUGAGUAUUGUGGUUUAUUCCUGCCAUGCAUGAAUUAGUAUUAGAGUUCUGCUGUUAUUAAUAAAGUAUGAAGAACGUUGAAAUCUACAUUCAAUGAAGGUGACAAUUAGAAGCACCAUUGAAUAUUAGUAGGUAGGAUUUGAUUAUGUAGUUGUUCUUGUAAGCGUGGUUUUUUUGUUAA
Arachis stenosperma is the source of this 1981-nucleotide RNA transcript. It is a transcript of the gene named F-box/kelch-repeat protein At3g23880-like, with no coding region annotated. The transcript is spliced from 3 exons. Lineage: Eukaryota; Viridiplantae; Streptophyta; Magnoliopsida; Fabales; Fabaceae. The record is from RefSeq and is a predicted model, not a curated record.